UACGUAGGUGGCAAGCGUUGUCCGGAAUUAUUGGGCGUAAAGCGCGCGCAGGCGGUCCUUUAAGUCUGAUGUGAAAGCCCACGGCUCAACCGUGGAGGGUCAUUGGAAACUGGGGGACUUGAGUACAGAAGAGAAGAGUGGAAUUCCACGUGUAGCGGUGAAAUGCGUAGAGAUGUGGAGGAACACCAGUGGCGAAAGCGACUUUCUGGUCCUUAACUGACGCUGAGGCGCGAAAGCAUGGGGAGCGAACGGG
This 253-nucleotide ribosomal RNA is filed under the name uncultured bacterium. Its description in RNAcentral is "partial 16S ribosomal RNA". It matches the Rfam family "Bacterial small subunit ribosomal RNA", at positions 524 to 776 of the family's 1533-position model. The record is from RNAcentral.